Molecule: small nucleolar RNA, 128 nt
Organism: Callithrix jacchus (white-tufted-ear marmoset)
Lineage: Eukaryota; Metazoa; Chordata; Mammalia; Primates; Cebidae
Source: Ensembl
AGGCCAUUUUAAAGAGGGCUCAUGGGACUGUGAAAACAAGAGCUCUUACUACUGUGACCAAAAAUUGAAAUUCUCUAUAGGUUGCCAAAGCAUUCAAUGGUGCUAUGUUUUCCUGAGGAGGUAAAAGA